AGGCCAGUAGCUCAAUUUGGCAGAGCAGCGGACUCCAAAUCCGCCGGCUGGGGGUUCGAGUCCCUCCUGGCCUGCCA
This 77-nucleotide transfer RNA is filed under the name Planctomycetota bacterium. RNAcentral's name for it is "Planctomycetes bacterium (sediment metagenome) tRNA-Trp". It matches the Rfam family "tRNA". From Rfam's summary of the family: Transfer RNA (tRNA) molecules are approximately 80 nucleotides in length. Their secondary structure includes four short double-helical elements and three loops (D, anti-codon, and T loops). The record is from RNAcentral. RNAcentral also lists the same sequence under 1 other name. Lineage: Bacteria; Pseudomonadati; Planctomycetota.